CGGGCUCCAGUCCAGAUAUGACGUAUGUGGACUCUCCUCCACCUCGGUGCCACCAGAAGCAUCCUAUGAUGAAGACUGGGAGGUCUUUGACCCGUAUUUUUUCAUCAAGCAUGUGCCUCCACUGACUGAAGAGCAACUCACGCGUAAGCCAGCGUUGCCCCUAAAGACGCGCAGUACACCAGAAUUCUCUCUUGUACUUGACCUGGAUGAGACCCUCGUGCACUGCAGUUUAAAUGAGCUGGAGGACGCAGCACUUACCUUCCCUGUCCUUUUCCAAGAUGUCAUUUACCAGGUGUAUGUGCGACUAAGGCCGUUCUUUAGAGAAUUCUUAGAACGCAUGUCAC
This is a long non-coding RNA of Thalassophryne amazonica, 344 nucleotides long. RefSeq lists it as uncharacterized. NCBI's taxonomy places the organism in Eukaryota, Metazoa, Chordata, Actinopteri, Batrachoidiformes, Batrachoididae. The record is from RefSeq and is a predicted model, not a curated record. The transcript has 4 exons.